AUUGAACGCUGGCGGCAGGCCUAACACAUGCAAGUCGAACGAGUGGCGGACGGGUGAGUAAUGUCUGGGAAACUGCCCGAUGGAGGGGGAUAACUACUGGAAACGGUAGCUAAUACCGCAUACCAUCGGAUGUGCCCAGAUGGGAUUAGCUAGGAGGUGGGGUAACGGCUCACCUAGGCGUGGAUCCCUAGCUGGUCUGAGAGGAUGACCAACCAGACGGGAACAGAGACACGGUCCAUACUCCUACGGGAGGCAGCAGUGGGGAAUAUUGCACAGUGGACUCAAGCCUGAUGCAGCCAUGCCGCAUGUAUGAAGAAGGCCUGCGGGUUGUAAAGUACUUUCUGCGAGGAAACGUUACUCGCAGAAGAAGCACCGGCUAACUCCGUGCCAGCAGCCGCGGUAAUAC
RNAcentral lists this ribosomal RNA (406 nucleotides) under uncultured bacterium. RNAcentral's name for it is "partial 16S ribosomal RNA". It matches the Rfam family "Bacterial small subunit ribosomal RNA", at positions 30 to 526 of the family's 1533-position model. The record is from RNAcentral.